GACGAACGCUGGCGGCGUGCUUAACACAUGCAAGUCGAACGGAAAGGCCCUGCUUGCAGGGUACUCGAGUGGCGAACGGGUGAGUAACACGUGGGUGAUCUGCCCUGCACUUCGGGAUAAGCCUGGGAAACUGGGUCUAAUACCGGCUAGGAGCCAUUUUUAGUGUGAUGGUUGGAAAGUUUUUUCGGUGUAGGAUGAGCUCGCAGCCUAUCAGCUUGUUGGUGGGGUAAUGGCCUACCAAGGCGGCGACGGGUAGCCGGCCUGAGAGGGUGGACGGCCACAUUGGGACUGAGAUACGGCCCAGGCACCUACGGGAGGCAGCAGUGGGGAAGAUUGCACAAUGGGCGCCAGCCGGAUGCAGCGGCGCCGCGUGGGGGAUGACGGCCUUCGGGUUGUAGACUCCUUUCGCAAGGGACGAAGCUUUUUGUGACGGUACCUAGAUAAGAAGCACCGGCUAACUACGUG
This 465-nucleotide ribosomal RNA is filed under the name uncultured bacterium. RNAcentral describes it as "partial 16S ribosomal RNA". It matches the Rfam family "Bacterial small subunit ribosomal RNA", at positions 28 to 507 of the family's 1533-position model. The record is from RNAcentral.